CCUACGGGAGGCUGCAGUAGGGAAUAUUGCUCAAUGGGGGAAACCCUGAAGCAGCAACGCCGCGUGGAGGAUGAAGGUUUUAGGCUUGUUAACUCUUUUUGUUAGAGAAGAUUAUGACGGUAUCUAACGAAUAAGCACCGGCUAACUCCGUGCCAGCAACCGCGGUAAUAUGGAAGGUGCAAGCGUUACACGGAAUCAAUGGGCGUAAAGCGUGCGUAGGCGGGGGAAUAAGUCAGAUGUGAAAUCCUGUAGCUUAACUACAGAACUGCAUUUGAAAAUGUGACUGUGGAGUGUGGGAGAGGUAUGUGGAAGUCUUGGUGUAGGGGUAAAAUCCGUAGAGAUCAAGAGGAAUACUCAGUGCGAAGGCGACCUGCUGGAACAUUACUGACGCUGAUGCACGAAAGCGUGGGGAGCAAACAGGAUUAGAUACCCCAGUAGUC
RNAcentral lists this ribosomal RNA (440 nucleotides) under uncultured bacterium. RNAcentral's name for it is "partial 16S ribosomal RNA". It matches the Rfam family "Bacterial small subunit ribosomal RNA", at positions 338 to 795 of the family's 1533-position model. The record is from RNAcentral.